CCCUCAUGGCAAGGAGGCAGGGGUGACAUGCUGCAUGUGGAGCCUCAGCUGGCUGCCAACAUCUCAGGGCCCAUAGGGUUUAGCACCACCAAUCUCCCUCCCACAUUCCCUGAUGCUCCUCAGCCUCUCCACAUCCUCCUUCAGGUCAACCACAAGGUUGAAUAAGUCAUUGAGCUGAUUGUAUCUUACACAAGUGCUGCCUCCCUCAUCUAGCACUGCAAAGGCCAGGCUCUGGCACCCACUACAACCAGAGACCUGCACAGUAGCAUCUUGUUUCAGGAUCUCAGUCUGGGUCUCCACAUUUUUCCUGUCAGCAGCCUUGCACCGAGGUGCAGCCACAGCAAACCAGCAGACUCACAACUAUUCAGGUAACUUUAAAGAGUGUGACUGAUCAGCUCUGCCCUGCUGCCAAUAGUGCCGGCACUGCCCCUGCCCCUUAACAAGUGCCCCCGCGCUUAACAAGCGCCCCCGCUUCACAGUGAUAGCAACCCUUCUCGCUCUGUAACCCCAUGAAUGAGCGGCUUACGGUUUCUCCGCGUUUGAACUGCCCACGCAAUCCACGCAUCCCCAGCUCCUCCUCUCCGUCCCUGCUGGGCCGCCCUCCCUGCGGCUUUUCUAGGCGGGGAUGCAGCGCCCAGGCAACGCCCGCUCCACGUCUUUGUUUGUCACGUCAGUCAUGUCUGUCACGUCAGCCGCUGCCGGGCUGCUCUGUGAUGUCGGGGUUCUGUGGGUAAAGGAACCGACCGAAACGCCCCUGUACCUCGGUGACAGUCGCUGCUGUUCGGUCCGGGACAGUUCUGAAGCAGCGAACCUUGGCAGUCCAGGUCACUAUACUGGGGCAGAGACCUCUCCUGUGACUUCUGUGCCCAAAUCAACUUACUGAAUCAAUCAUUCUUUGAAGACAAUGAAGGAGCUUUCUCUGAGGAAGAAGCCACAAACCUCAAACAACUUGCUCGUGGGUGGACCCUGGGAAACAGAGUGACUGAGAAACCAAGAACACCAGAUUCUUGGGUCUACGAGGAGAGCAAGCAAGGUGUAUCCUGAUAUCAGGCAUUACCAGAAGUAAGGUUAGUUUUAUCUAACUUAAGGCAUCCGUGAUACAGAUACCUACUGCAGAGGUUCUCUAAAUGCAAAGAGAGAAAUUCACAGGUGUGAUUUACCUGUCCUAUUUUAGGCAGCAUUGUAGAUAUCUCCAUUUGAUCUCAUGAAUCCCACCCGUUUCCUGACAAAGAU
Long non-coding RNA from Coturnix japonica (Japanese quail), 1233 nucleotides. RefSeq lists it as uncharacterized. NCBI's taxonomy places the organism in Eukaryota, Metazoa, Chordata, Aves, Galliformes, Phasianidae. The record is from RefSeq and is a predicted model, not a curated record.